This 506-nucleotide ribosomal RNA is filed under the name uncultured bacterium. RNAcentral's name for it is "partial 16S ribosomal RNA". It matches the Rfam family "Bacterial small subunit ribosomal RNA", at positions 28 to 523 of the family's 1533-position model. The record is from RNAcentral.
GAUGAACGCUAGCUACAGGCCUAACACAUGCAAGUCGAGGGGUAACGAGAGGAAAGCUUGCUUUCCUUGUCGACGACCGGCGCACGGGUGAGUAACGCGUAUCCAACCUGCCCCCAACUAGGGAAUAACAUUGCGAAAGUAAGACUAAUACCCUAUAAUUUCCUCAGAUGUCAUCUGACGAGGAAUAAAGAUUUAUCGGUUGUGGAUGGGGAUGCGUCUGAUUAGCUUGUUGGCGGGGUAACGGCCCACCAAUGCAACGAUCAGUAGGGGUUCUGAGAGGAAGGUACCCCACAUUGGGAGUGAGACACGCUCCACACUCCUACGGGAGGCAGCAGUGAGGAAUAUUAGUCAAUGGGCGGAAGCCUGAACCAGCCAAGUAGCGUGCAGGAUGACGGCCCUAUGGGUUGUAAACUGCUUUUAUACAGGAAUAAAGUUAGCCACGUGUGGUUAUUUGUAGGUACUGUAUGAAUAAGGACCGGCUAAUUCCGUGCCAGCCGCCGCCGUAA